This 97-nucleotide transfer RNA is filed under the name Planctomycetota bacterium. Its description in RNAcentral is "Planctomycetes bacterium (activated sludge metagenome) tRNA-Sec". It matches the Rfam family "Selenocysteine transfer RNA". Lineage: Bacteria; Pseudomonadati; Planctomycetota. The record is from RNAcentral.
GGGGGCCAAUGCGGGCUGGUGUCCGUCACGGUCUUCAAAACCGCUGGGCCCGGCGAACAACCGGGUCGCUCGAUUCGAUUUCGAGUGGUCCCCGCCA